AUGGGCCUAGAAAUUAAUACGCUAGCAAUCACCCCCCUAAUGGCACAACAUCACCACCCUCGUGCAGUAGAAGCAACUACAAAAUAUUUCUUAACCCAAGCCACCGCCGCGGCAAUAAUCCUGUUCGCAAGCACAACAAAUGCCUGAAUAACAGGAGAAUGAAGCAUCAAUGACCUGUCGAACCCCAUCGCCAGCACAAUAUUUAUAGCUGCCUUAGCACUUAAAAUUGGACUUGCACCAAUACACUUCUGAAUACCAGAAGUUCUACAAGGAUUAGACCUGCUAACAGGACUCAUCUUAUCCACCGACCAAAAACUCGCCCCAUUCGCGCUUAUUAUCCAAACAGCACAAACCAUCGACCCACUGCUACUAACACUAUUAGGAAUUUCAUCCACAUUAGUUGGAGGAGAGGGGGAUUAAAUCAAACCCAACUACGAAAAAUCCUGGCCUACUCUUCAAUCGCACACAUAGGAUGAAUAAUUAUUGUAAUCCAAUACGCCCCACAACUCACCCUAAUUGCACUAGGAACAUAUAUUAUCAUAACCUCCGCAGCAUUCCUGACCCUAAAAAUAUCACUAACAACCAAAAUCAGCACACUCGCAACAACCUGAUCAAAAAGCCCUAUCCUGACAUCAACAACUGCCCUAGUCCUACUCUCACUAGGAGGCCUACCACCAUUAACAGGAUUUAUACCAAAAUGACUAAUUCUACAAGAACUAACAAAACAAGACCUCCCAAUUAUUGCCACAGCCAUAGCCCUAACCGCCCUAAUUAGCCUAUACUUCUACCUACGCCUAUGCUACGCAAUAACACUGACUAUUUCCCCCAAUAUGAUUAACUCAACAACCCCCUGACGAACCCAAACAACCCAAACCUCUCUACCCUUAGCCCUAUUUACCACAGCCGCCCUCGGACUCCUACCAAUAGCCCCAGCUAUCCUAAUACUAACCACCUAGGGAUUUAGGAUAACAUUAGACCAAAAGCCUUCAAAGCUUUAAGUAGAAGUGAAAAUCUUCUAAUCCCUGAUUAAGGCCUACAAGAUAUUAACUUGCAUCUCCUGAUUGCAAAUCAGACACUUUUAUUAAGCUAAGGCCUUACUAGAUGGGAAGGCCUCGAUCCUACAAACUUUUAGUUAACAGCUAAACGCUCAAGCCAGCGAGCAUCCAUCUACUUUUCCCGCCGUUUAACUCAGUAAGGCGGGAAAAGCCCCGGCAGAAUAUUAAUCUGCGUCUUCGGAUUUGCAAUCCAAUGUGUUCUUCACCACGGAGCUGAUAGGAAGAGGACUCAAAAACCUCUGUCUUCGGGGCUACAACCCACCGCCUAAGCACUCGGGCUACCCUACCUGUGGCAAUCACGCGCUGAUUCUUCUCUACCAACCACAAAGACAUUUGGCACCCUUUAUCUUGUAUUUGGUGCCUGAGCCGGAAUAGUAGGAACCCGCCUUAAGCCUCCUCAUUCGGGUCGAACUUAGCCAACCCGGGUCGCUUCUAGGUGAUGACCAAAUUUAUAACGUUAUCGUCACUGCCCACGCCUUUGUAAUAAUUUUCUUUAUAGUAAUGCCUAUCCUUAUUGGAGGAUUUGGAAACUGACUUGUACCACUAAUAAUCGGAGCCCCAGACAUAGCAUUCCCACGAAUAUAAUAACAUAAGCUUCUGACUACUACCCCCAUCAUUCCUUCUACUCCUAGCUUCUUCUGGUGUUGAAGCUGGAGCUGGAACAGGAUGAACCGUAUACCCACCUCUUGCAGGGAACUUAGCCCACGCAGGAGCAUCAGUAGACCUAACAAUUUUCUCACUUCACCUAGCAGGUGUUUCAUCAAUUCUAGGGGCAAUCAACUUUAUUACUACAACCAUCAACAUGAAACCCCCAGCCAUCUCUCAAUACCAAACACCCCUGUUCGUCUGAUCCGUGCUUGUAACCGCCGCCGUAUUGCUCCUUCUAUCAUUACCUGUUUUUUAGCCGCAGGAAUUACAAUGCUCCUAACAGACCGAAACCUUAAUACCACAUUCUUUGACCCGGCAGGAGGAGGAGACCCAAUCCUUUAUCAACACUUAUUCUGAUUCUUCGGCCACCCAGAAGUUUAUAUUCUCAUCCUCCCAUGAUUCGGUAUCAUCUCCCAUGUUGUAGCCUAUUAUUCAGGCAAAAAAAGAACCGUUCGGUUACAUAGGAAUGGUCUGAGCCAUGAUGGCCAUCGGUCUACUAGGGUUUAUUGUGUGAGCUCACCACAUGUUCACUGUUGGAAUAGACGUAGAUACUCGAGCAUAUUUUACAUCCGCAACAAUAAUUAUCGCAAUUCCAACAGGUGUAAAAAGUAUUUAGCUGAUUAGCCACACUCCACGGAGGAUCCAUUAAAUGAGAAACACCAAUACUAUGGGCUCUAGGGUUUAUUUUCCUAUUCACAGUAGGGGGGACUCACAGGGAUCGUCCUAUCCAAUUCAUCACUUGAUAUUGUCCUUCACGACACUUACUACGUAGUAGCACACUUCCACUAUGUACUAUCAAUGGGUGCUGUAUUUGCUAUUAUGGCAGCCUUUGUGCAUUGAUUCCCCCUAUUAACUGGAUAUACUCUCCACAGCACCUGAACAAAAAAUCCACUUUGGAGUUAGUUUUAUUGGAGUUAACCUCACGUUCUUCCCACAACACUUCCUAGGCUUAGCCGGUAUGCCACGGCGAUACUCCGACUAUCCAGAUGCCUACGCCCUGUGAAAUACAGUAUCAUCCAUUGGAUCGCUAAUUUCCCCUAGUAGCAGUAAUCAUAUUCCUAUUUAUCCUAUGAGAAGCCUUCGCCGCUAAACGAGAAGUACUAUCUGUAGAACUAACAGCAACAAAUGUAGAAUGACUUCACGGCUGGCCUCCUCCUUAUCACACAUACGAGGAACCAGCAUUCGUUCAAAUUCAAUCAAAAUUAACGAGAAAGGGAGGAAUUGAACCCCCAUAUGCUGGUUUCAAGCCAGCCACAUAACCACUCUGUCACUUCCUUCUAAA
RNA transcript from Cyprinus carpio (common carp), 2985 nucleotides. It is a transcript of the gene named NADH-ubiquinone oxidoreductase chain 2-like, with no coding region annotated. The record is from RefSeq and is a predicted model, not a curated record. Lineage: Eukaryota; Metazoa; Chordata; Actinopteri; Cypriniformes; Cyprinidae. The transcript has a single exon.